UUUUUUUCCAUCGAAAUCUCCAGAAAAUUUCUUCUCCGUUCGUUCUUCCCUAAGAAACAGAAAAAAUUCUUGUUUUUCGUUAUGGAUUACCUAAAAUAUAGAGAUAGAUUAGAAAUCAGGAUUGAUUUAGUUGAACCUUUUUUCAAAGAUUUUCAGAAUAUUUUUCAAUGGAUGAACGGUUGAAUCGGUGGGUAGAUGAGCAGAUCAAAUGGUUGUCAGUAAAUCUUAAACUCGGUCAAGACAGGUGAAGAAUUUCCUUGUUAACAAUUAUCUUGGACGAAUUUAUGAGGAGAAGAAUAUUCACUUAUUUGGAAAGAAGAUAUGGAUAAACAGAAAAACCCUAAUUAUACUGCAAAAUCAGAGAAAUUGAAACUAAGUAACCAUUUCGAUUUUGGUUAAUGUUCAAUUUUUUUGGCGCCAUGUAAAUCAAAAGGAAAAAAAGCUGGGCGGGAUUUUUCACGCUUGAUCUUCCAUUUUCUUUCCUAUAAAUACAAUCCCAAAGUUAUCAAGUUUUGCUCACAAGAUAAUAAUUGAAGGCUGAUUCUAUACAUUGGAUAUCCUAACUUCAAGGAUUUUCAGAACUCUAACUUAAGGUGAAAAAUGGCUAACAACAAUGAACAACCAGCUCCAACAACAUCAUCUUCUGAGGAAACAGAAGUCUGGAUCCGAGCAAGCUGAGAUUGACACCUUUUAUGACACCCAAACGUAUAUCAAUAAAAAAAACAGGCGAAGUUGUUUGGAGUUCUGAUGAAGCUCGCAUCAAAUGGGUGAGUAUAAACAUUAUUAAUUUUUUAUGUUGUUUGUGUCUACAUCCAAUCAAUAUGUGUAAUCUUCUCGUAGCUAUACAACAAUUGAUUCUAACAGUGAAGGAGUUCAUGCGAUGACACAAUCGCAACCUGAUAGAAUUCAAGCUCAGGAUGACCAUAUAUGCCCAGAAUGAGGUUAUCAAAAUGUGGAAAGAAGAUAGCGAAAAGUUCACAAGAAACAUACAGAAUUUGAUGCGUACUCUUUUCUAAACGAAAUUACAGCUAAUGGAACAACCGAAAGUUGAAUGCCGUGCCAUAAAAUCAAUUGUUACAUUAUUGUUUUGGUAUUAGUAUUAUCUUCUUUUUAACUAGUAGCGGUGAUGAUUUAUUUAUUGGUAGUUUAUUUAUCAGAUUUUCUUUUCGGUUUGGAUCUUGUUUGAACAAUUUAUUUUAAAGGUUAAUUAUUUUUUUGUUC
This is a long non-coding RNA of Papaver somniferum (opium poppy), 1221 nucleotides long. RefSeq lists it as uncharacterized. Lineage: Eukaryota; Viridiplantae; Streptophyta; Magnoliopsida; Ranunculales; Papaveraceae. The record is from RefSeq and is a predicted model, not a curated record. The transcript is spliced from 4 exons.